RNAcentral lists this ribosomal RNA (505 nucleotides) under uncultured Sebacinales. RNAcentral describes it as "eukaryotic LSU rRNA". The stretch from base 90 to 243 matches the Rfam family "5.8S ribosomal RNA". The record is from RNAcentral. Lineage: Eukaryota; Fungi; Basidiomycota; Agaricomycetes; Sebacinales.
UUGGCCUCUUGCUAGCUUCGGCCGGGAGAGGAAUUUUACACACACUCGAAUGUAAUGAAAUAUACUGCUGUGCGCAAGCACGAAUGUACAACUUUCAACAACGGAUCUCUUGGCUCUCGCAUCGAUGAAGAACGCAGCGAAAUGCGAUAAGUAAUGUGAAUUGCAGAAUUCAGUGAAUCAUCGAAUCUUUGAACGCACCUUGCACCCUUUGGCAUUCCGAAGGGUAUGCUCGUUUGAGUGUCAUUGUACUCUCACACUCCCGAUCUUUGGAUUGGGAGCGGUGGACUUGGGUGUUGCUGCUUACCGUGGCUCACCUCAAAUGGAGUAGUGCACCUCUCGGUUGGACAUAGUACGGCGUGAUAAGUGUCUUCGCCGGCACCUCACUUAGAGGGUGGCCGAUCGGGAGCUCUGUGCUUCAAACCGUCUUCGGACAACAACUGACAACUUGACCUCAAAUCGAGUAGGACCACCCGCUGAACUUAAGCAUAUCAAUAAGCGGAGGAAG